RNAcentral lists this ribosomal RNA (1204 nucleotides) under metagenome. RNAcentral describes it as "SSU rRNA". It matches the Rfam family "Eukaryotic small subunit ribosomal RNA", at positions 573 to 1800 of the family's 1831-position model. The record is from RNAcentral.
GCCGCGGUAAUUCCAGCUCCAAUAGCGUAUAUUAAAGUUGUUGCAGUUAAAAAGCUCGUAGUUGGAUCUCAGGAUUUGGAUGGAUGGUUCGCUUUCGGGCGCUACUAUCUGUCUGACCUACUCUAGUCGUGGAUGCCUUGGGUGCUCUUAAUUGAGUGCUUUUGGUGCCCGACGCAAUUACUUUGAAAAAAUUAGAGUGCUCAAAGCAGGCUAUUGCCUGAAUAGUGUUGCAUGGAAUAAUGAAAUAGGAGUUUACUUCUAUUUUGUUGGUUUUCGGAGGUGAACUAAUGAUUAACAGGGACAGACGGGGGCAUUUGUAUGGAGGGGUAGAGGUGAAAUUCUUGGAUCCUCUCCAGACAAACUACUGCGAAAGCUUUUGCCAGGAAUGUUUUCACUAAUCAAGAACGAAAGUCAGAGGUUCGAAGACGAUCAGAUACCGUCCUAGUUCUGACCAUAAAUGAUGCCAUCUAACAAUCCACUAAGUUUGCUUGUACGAACUCGUGGGCGGUCCCCGGGAAACCAAAGAUUUUGGGUUCCGGGGGAAGUAUGGUUGCAAAGCUGAAACUUAAAGGAAUUGACGGAAGGGCACCACCAGGAGUGGGGCCUGCGGCUUAAUUUGACCCAACACGGGAAACCUCACCCGGCCCGGACACUUUUAGGAUUGACAGAUUGAAGGCUCUUUCUUGAUCAAGUGGUUGGUGGUGCAUGGCCGUUCUUAGUUGGUGGAGCGAUUUGUCUGGUUAAUUCCGAUAACGAACGAGACUCUACUCUGCUAAAUAGAACGUUGAUAUAUAAAAGUCAGUGCUGACUUCUUAGAGAGACUAACGGCGUUUAGCCGUGUGAGGAAGAGCAAUAACAGGUCUGUGAUGCCCUUAGAUGUCCGGGGCCGCACGCGCGCUACACUGACUGCAGCAACUAGUAUGCUCCUGGUUUGAAAAAACUGGGUAACCUGGUUGAAUUGCAGGCGUGACAGGGAUCAGAGUUUGCAAUUAUCCUCUGUGAACGAGGAAUUCCCAGUAAGCGCAAGUCAUUAGCUUGUGCUGAUUACGUCCCUGCCCUUUGUACACACCGCCCGUCGCUACUACCGAUUGAAUGGUUUAGUGAGGUCUUCGGAUUGGUGCUGAUGGAGUGGUUCUCUGCUCUGUUAGUGCCGAGAAGAUGAUCAAACUUGAUCAUUUAGAGGAAGUAAAAGUCGUAACAAGGU